This 802-nucleotide long non-coding RNA is filed under the name Bos taurus (domestic cattle). RNAcentral's name for it is "long non-coding RNA NONBTAT015255". Lineage: Eukaryota; Metazoa; Chordata; Mammalia; Artiodactyla; Bovidae. The record is from RNAcentral.
GUAGUAGUUACCUAUUAACAAAAUAAAGCCAAAAAACAAAUAACCACACAUUUUUUGUUGACGCAGAAAGAAUAUUUACCAUAAAGUUAUCGAGUAUUUGCACCACCUCAACAUUCGUAUUAACUGUCAAUACCUUUCCCUACUCAAUAACUGAAAAUUGUUGUCUCCAAUACAUAGCUUUCAUAAUUAACAAUUAGUGCAACAUUUUACUUUGCAAUAAUUACAAAUGCAUACUUUGACUAAUGGAACUUGGUGACAUCUAGAAAGAAUGCUUACCUAUAUUUGAAAAUGAAUAAUACUCAGAUGCCCAUAACAAAUCUAAAUGUGAUAAUAAAUGCUCAUAAUAAAUCUCAAUCAGUGGAUUAACACCGAUAUGAUGUUAACCUACAUAAUCACAGAACUGCUCCAAACCAGUGCUGAGCCAUACUUUGGUGUCCUCUAUGCCUUGCAAAUUAUAAAAUGCCCACAAUCUUAUAUCCAGUUUUUAAUCUGGAAGGCAAAAAGGGACAACGAUGGGGUACAGCGGACGCCAUCAGUGUAGUCACCGUGUGUAUCUUAUCUCAUCUCUCAAUCUUCAUCUACAAAAUUGUAGAGAAGAUUCAAACACAUCCAAUCCCUUGCUUUUUUUAAACCUUACAGACGGGCCAGAGGAAGUGGACUUAUAUUAUCUGACAGUCCUAAAGACAGAUCACUUUGAAGUUCUGGUGUCAUCCUUCCCUUAAUCAACCCGUAUGGAGAGUUCCUUCUAGUUCUUUACAACAUAUAUAUUCCACCACCCAAUUCCUCAUGGGGCCUGUGCCAC